UUGAAUAUGCUUACCGUAGACAGUAGGUGCCGCAAGGCUUAAUUUCCUACCGAGGUGUUGUGAUAGAAAUAAGAAGUGCUAGGCGCUUGCCUGAGUAACUUUCCUUUUAUCAAGCCUUCGUGAAUCUGCGGAGGCUUUUCUAA
Molecule: small RNA, 143 nt
Filed under: Paenibacillus ihuae
Lineage: Bacteria; Bacillati; Bacillota; Bacilli; Caryophanales; Paenibacillaceae
Description: Ribosomal protein L10 leader
Rfam family: Ribosomal protein L10 leader
About the family: This family is a putative r-protein leader autoregulatory structure found in B. subtilis and other low-GC Gram-positive bacteria. It is located in the 5' untranslated regions of mRNAs encoding ribosomal proteins L10 and L12 (rplJ-rplL).
Source: RNAcentral